AACCCUUGAUUUUAUACAGUAUCUUCUGAGUAAAUGAUUAAAUAAAUCAAAACUUUCAACAACGGAUCUCUUGGUUCUGGCAUCGAUGAAGAACGCAGCGAAAUGCGAUAAGUAAUGUGAAUUGCAGAAUUCAGUGAAUCAUCGAAUCUUUGAACGCACAUUGCGCCCGCCAGUAUUCUGGCGGGCAUGCCUGUUCGAGCGUCAUUUCAACCCUCAAGCCCCCGGGCUUGGUGUUGGAGAUCGGCGUGCCCUCCGGGGCGCGCCGGCUCCCAAAUAUAGUGGCGGUCUCGCUGUAGCUUCCUCUGCGUAGUAGCACACCUCGCACUGGAAAACAGCGUGGCCACGCCGUUAAACCCCCCACUUCUGAAAGGUUGACCUCGGAUCAGGUAGGAAUACCCGCUGAACUUAAGCAUAUCAAUAAGCGGAGGA
Molecule: ribosomal RNA, 429 nt
Filed under: Ilyonectria destructans
Lineage: Eukaryota; Fungi; Ascomycota; Sordariomycetes; Hypocreales; Nectriaceae
Description: eukaryotic LSU rRNA
Rfam family: 5.8S ribosomal RNA (bases 51-204)
Source: RNAcentral